GAGAGGGCCACCUCCUGCAGGGCACACGGACACAAGCAGAGACACGCGAGGGCACGCACGCAUGCACACACAGAACACUCCCACAGUGACAGGCCACACGGAAGAAAGAGCACGGAGGGAAGAGAGACACAGGCGAAUGGACAAAACACAGGGAGAGAGGGGACGCGUGUCAAUCACCUGUCUGCCACUCAGCCCAGGGGUCUGAGUCCUCAGGAACACCUAAUGAACCUCCCAACGCCAUACUCCAGCCAGCCACUGCUUCAUCACUUCCAGCCAGAGAACUCACUACCUCACAGGGAAGUAGUCCUUAUUUGGAAAACCCCAGAGCAAGCGGUCCACAUACCAGGGCCCACUUCCUCCUAUCCUUCUCCUCCAUCACCCCCCACCUAUGGUAUCUGACCAUGCUCUCUCACCCCCGGCCAUCACCUGCUUUGGGGCUGGAAGAGCUGACUGGGCCCAGCAUGUGGCUGUGACUUCUCCAGGGUGGGACAUGCCCCGGCUCAAGGACAGUGAGAUGCCCAUCACCGGCUGUACUCGCAGAUCCAGCACUGAGACCUUGUCGUCUGUCACAGCCAGUGCCUGCUCCCCCAGGAUGGCGUCAGACAGCGGGGAACGAACCUAAGAGUAGAAAGCGACUGAAAGUGAGGGGGUCUCCCCCACACAGUCUCCCCUAAAGGACCCUGUUUUGGCAUCACCAUCUCUACACUAACACACACUCCAAUCCAUACCAGAGGACUGUGUCCUUUUUCUGGAGGCCUGGUCCCCACACACCUAUACUAUACCCUAUCCCUUCACACCUAUAGCAUUUCCUACAGUUAUCUCCAUUCUCAUUUAGUCCCCUAUGCUCCGACUGCCCACCUAUUCUCCCUGGUCACAGUAAGCCCCGUCUGCAGCCUUCACACCUAACCAUGAACAGUCUGGGGACACCAGUACCCUGUGGGAAGGGGACAAAGUCUUGCUCUUUGGCGUCCCCUGUGGCGGCUCACCUCGAUAGAGGUGACUCCAGGCUCCCGUCCCACUAGGAUGCGGCCACCUUCCAAGGAGGCUAUGCGAGGAUCUUGCACAUGGGCAUGGGCUGCCACGAGGUGACUCACAUCCAGCAACCAGUCAGGACCGAGUAGGUGGGUGAGGCGACGGCCACCGUCCAGCGGGUGAGCCGCAAAGGGCACCAAGAAGCGCACACCAGCUCUCUGGUACUGCAGGCGGCAGCCACGGGAGCGCCGCUCCACCUCCUCAGCAGCAGUCUCAGGCUCCAGCUGCCUGCGGGGAGGGGCGUCAGUGAGGGCCCCGCCCACUGGAGACCACUCCUUCCCCCAGACUCCAAACUCCGGGCAGGCCCUGCCCAGCCACCUAUCUAGAGGUUCUAGAUGG
Molecule: long non-coding RNA, 1371 nt
Filed under: Mus musculus (house mouse)
Lineage: Eukaryota; Metazoa; Chordata; Mammalia; Rodentia; Muridae
Description: long non-coding RNA chr19:10859137-10860508
Source: RNAcentral